This 498-nucleotide ribosomal RNA is filed under the name uncultured bacterium. RNAcentral describes it as "bacterial SSU rRNA". It matches the Rfam family "Bacterial small subunit ribosomal RNA", at positions 28 to 514 of the family's 1533-position model. The record is from RNAcentral.
GAUGAACGCUAGCUACAGGCUUAACACAUGCAAGUCGAGGGGCAGCAUGAACAAAGCUUGCUUUGUUUGAUGGCGACCGGCGCACGGGUGCGUAACGCGUAUCCAACCUUCCCGUUACUCUUGGAUAGCCUUCCGAAAGGGAGAUUAAUACAAGAUGGUAUUCAAAUUCCGCAUGUUAUUUGAAUUAAAGAUUUAUCGGUAACGGAUAGGGAUGCGUGACAUUAGAUAGUUGGCGGGGUAACGGCCCACCAAGUCUACGAUGUCUAGGGGUUCUGAGAGGAAGGUCCCCCCACACUGGAACUGAGACACGGUCCAGACUCCUACGGGAGGCAGCAGUGAGGAAUAUUGGUCAAUGGCCGAGAGGCUGAACCAGCCAAGUAGCGUGAAGGAUGAAGGUUCUAUGGAUUGUAAACUUCUUUUAUACGGGAAUAACAUCACCUACGUGUAGGUGCCUGCAUGUACCGUAUGAAUAAGCAUCGGCUAACUCCGUGCCAGCAG